Molecule: ribosomal RNA, 1414 nt
Filed under: uncultured organism
Description: 16S ribosomal RNA
Rfam family: Bacterial small subunit ribosomal RNA
Source: RNAcentral
GAACGCUGGCUACAGGCUUAACACAUGCAAGUCGACCUUCAGCAUGCCGGUUGCUUGCAACCGGUGAUGGCGACCGGCGCACGGGUGAGUAACGCGUAUCCAACCUUCCCGCGACCAAGGGAUAACCUGCCGAAAGGCAGACUAAUACCUUAUGUCCUCCUUUGAAGGCAUCUGACGAGGGGCAAAGAUCCGUCGGUCACGGAUGGGGAUGCGUCCGAUUAGCUUGUUGGCGGGGCAACGGCCCACCAAGGCUUCGAUCGGUAGGGGUUCUGAGAGGAAGGCCCCCCACACUGGAACUGAGACACGGUCCAGACUCCUACGGGAGGCAGCAGUGAGGAAUAUUGGUCAAUGGGCGGAAGCCUGAACCAGCCAAGUAGCGUGCAGGAUGACGGCCCUACGGGUUGUAAACUGCUUUUAUGCGGGGAUAAAGUUGCCCACGUGUGGGUUUUUGCAGGUACCGCAUGAAUAAGGACCGGCUAAUUCCGUGCCAGCAGCCGCGGUAAUACGGAAGGUCCGGGCGUUAUCCGGAUUUAUUGGGUUUAAAGGGAGCGCAGGCCGCCGUGCAAGCGUGCCGUGAAAAGCAGCGGCCCAACCGCUGCCCUGCGGCGCGAACUGCUUGGCUUGAGUGCGCCGGAAGCGGGCGGAAUUCGUGGUGUAGCGGUGAAAUGCUUAGAUAUCACGAAGAACCCCGAUUGCGAAGGCAGCCCGCUGUGGCGCCACUGACGCUGAGGCUCGAAGGUGCGGGUAUCGAACAGGAUUAGGAUACCCUGGUAGUCCGCACGGUAAACGAUGGAUACCCGCUGUCCGGCCCGUACGGUCUGGGCGGCCAAGCGAAAGCGUUAAGUAUCCCACCUGGGGAGUACGCCGGCAACGGUGAAACUCAAAGGAAUUGACGGGGGCCCGCACAAGCGGAGGAACAUGUGGUUUAAUUCGAUGAUACGCGAGGAACCUUACCCGGGCUUGAAUUGCAGGAGAAUGAUUCAGAGAUGAUGAAGUCCCUCGGGACUCCUGUGAAGGUGCUGCAUGGUUGUCGUCAGCUCGUGCCGUGAGGUGUCGGCUCAAGUGCCAUAACGAGCGCAACCCCUCUCCGCAGUUGCCAUCGGGUGAUGCCGGGCACUCUGCGGACACUGCCGCCGCAAGGUGCGAGGAAGGUGGGGAUGACGUCAAAUCAGCACGGCCCUUACGUCCGGGGCCACACACGUGUUACAAUGGCAGGUACAGAGGGCUGUCCGCAUGCAAGUGCGGGCGAAUCCCGAAAUCCGGUCCCAGUUCGGACUGGGGUCUGCAACCCGACCCCACGAAGCUGGAUUCGCUAGUAAUCGCGCAUCAGCCAUGGCGCGGUGAGUACGUUCCCGGGCCUUGUACACACCGCCCGUCAAGCCAUGAAAGCCGGGGGUGCCUGAAGUCCGUGACC